This 3627-nucleotide long non-coding RNA is filed under the name Capsella rubella. Its description in RNAcentral is "long non-coding RNA (CRUB_LNC003200)". Lineage: Eukaryota; Viridiplantae; Streptophyta; Magnoliopsida; Brassicales; Brassicaceae. The record is from RNAcentral.
UAGUUUUCUUAGUAAUUGGAGGAUUCUAGUUUUUUUAUAUAUUGGGUUUUAGUUGUUUUGUGUGUUUCCUUAUUUGAAUUAUAAUAAAACUAGUUGAUUUUGUUCUACCUAAUGUUUUUCUUUAAUAUGUACGUUGUUCAUGUUGUCGUAUUUGAAUAACCUCGUAAUGUUUUCUUAUUAUUAUAGGACGUUCAUAUUUUCUCAAAUUAAAAUCAUUUAAUGAAUAAGCUUGUAAAGGAUUCUAACCAUAAGAUAUUAUUAAAACCAAAUAAGCUUAAUUUGGGAAAUUUGGCAAAGAUACAAUUAUUUAAUCUCUUCAAGUUAAUGUUCCGAUGUUUAUUAUGUCAUUUGUUUUUAGCACGUAAUCAAAGUUUUCCAAGGCAUAAACUAGAAAUUUAUUGUCUUGAUCUUUUAUUCUCUUUUACAGUCGUUCCGACAGCAAAAACAAUGGGAACGAGUGGCAAAAUCAGUUUACAAAUGCAAACAAAGUACGUACAUGCAUCUAUUAAUAUGUAUAACCCAAGCAAGUUUCAAAACUGUGACGCCAAUAACAAAAGUUUUGGAUAAUACCAUUACAUCACUUGGAUCACGUACGGCAUUAUCUUGUUUGUUAAUAUUUAACACUUGGCCCAAUGCAAUUACCGUUUCUAUCUUUUUUUUUUUUUUUUUUUUUUGCUAUGGUACUCUCUUAAGCAGACUUGAAUCUUGAUGAUUCCAUGAUGCAUCAACUAGCUAGUGAUGAUGAGAUGAAUGUAUCAUGCACCAAGCUAAUGUCUCCUCUCUAACUUAUAUGCUCAUACAAAAAAAAAAAAACUUAUAUCCUCAUGUAUGUAAACGAUUUAUUUAUUGUAAAUUUUUUUUGGGAAAAUAAUUUAUUUCAUAAUACAAAUUUUUGUGGAGAUUUCUGAUUUGAUAUGGGAAAUAUUUGAUAUGCAAUCUCAUUUUCGGUCCAUAUCGUCUGUGAUAUCACUUCGGUGGACGUAUCAUUCAUCAAGAUUUUAUGUGUGUGUGUGUGUUUUUUUUUUUUUUGUAUGAUAUGUAUUAGAGAAGUGUUAAAAAAAUUAAUUACUAAAAAAAUAAAAAGUGAAGAGAGAGAUAAUAGUCUCUUAUUAGGAAUAAUAGCCUAAUACAAACAAAUGAUAAACUUUGUAAUAAUCUUAGUGGAAACUUCCCUUAGAAAUAUGUGUAUAACCAUAAUCACAAUACUAACAUUUAUACAACAUUUCGAAAUACACACAAGUAAUAAUACUCAAAAGAAGAGAGUGAUGAUUUGGUAAUUUGGAUUGAGAGUGUGUACAAGGAAGGCCAAGUUGGGUUUUGGUUACUUUCCUCGUAAGUCGAACAAAAAAUAUUCGUGUGUCGGUAGAAGGUAACGAGAUGAAGCCACGUGUAAGAUCGUGUAGCAUAUAAGAAGAAGUGUUUUGAUCGAUCUUUGUCGUCGUGAAAACCCAAAGGACCCACACCGCACCGACGACUGAUCAAUCUAAAAAUAAGCUCUUAAGGCUGUUCUGUUCCAAUUCCAUUGUCCUAUCUUCUCUGGACCCCUUUGGAUUUUGCAUGCAUCUCCUAGUGAACCCCACCAUGUUUUACCUCUUGUCAUUUCUUACGUUAUGUCAAUUGCUCUCCUUACAUAUAUACAUAUUCUUCUUCUUCUAACACUCGCAUCUCUAAACUCUAAUCUAUGUUCUUGAGUUUAUUACAUCUAGUUUUUGUUUUGCUCACCAUGCAUGCAAAGCCUUCCAUGUAUCUGAAAAGUUUAGUUAGAGUGAUAGUCCGAUUGGGUAAUUGAUAACGGUAUAUAUGACCCGUAUGAGUAAACCCUCUAGUGAGUUAAAAUAAAAUAGUAAAAAUAGUAACAAGGGUAAAAAGAUUUGAGAUAAUUUAUGAUUAUAAGGUUUUGUACCAUUAUUAUAAAACAUGUUAGAAUCCAUGGAUUCAAAAAAAUGAUACAAUAUUUGCUUCACUUAUUAAAAAGUAAUUUAAAAUAAGAUCACUUAAAUUUAUGAUACAAUUUAAGUGAUACAAUAUACUCAUUUUUUUGUAGUGCCAGUAUUUUGGACGUCUAUAGUGAUCAAUCAUUACUAAUCAUAAUAUAAUUAUAUUCUACUCCAUUAAUCAAAGAAAACAUAUUAACAAGUCUUAUAAAAGAACAAAGAGUGUAUUUAAUAAUAAGUCUAUUCUUCGCACAAGCUACUUCCCCACUUCAGAGAACACUGAGUGGCCCAUUCUUUACAUAUCAUAGAAUGUGGAGAAAUAUACAAUAUAAUUAAUUAUAUUAUCAAAUUUUUAAAAAUAUAAUCUUAAAUAAAUAAUUAAAAAUAUUUGAUGAAAAUCUUAAUUAAAUUAAUAAUUAAAAGUUUGUUUGUUAAAAUCAUGUGAAACAUUAUAUAUCACAUAAAAUCUCUUAUUUUCACAUAAAAUCUUCAUAUUAAAAUAAUCAAUUUCGAUAUAUAUUUUACAAGGGCAUAAAUAAAGGAGACAAAAGAUUUGAUAUAUUCAUGUAGAUCCAUCCACACCUAGAAUUCAGGAGCUAUACUAAACAACUUAUCACCUCGUGAAUUCAGGAGCUAUACUAAACUUAUCACCUCGUCCCCCCCCCUAUAUAUAUAUUACAACUUUAGAAGAAGCCCUAAUACAAUAAAGUCUCAACAAUGAAGUUUCACGGCCAAAGAAGAAAGAAGAAAGUCUCAACAACAACGAAGAAACAAAACAAAACACUACCUGAAGUGAUCCACGAAACACCUGAUCAUGUGCAAGUCAUAAAGUACCCUUGUUUAACGACGAUGUUGUGGGAGAGUUUGGAGAAAAAGAAACUGAAUGGUGUACGUGUAUUCACUCGUGGGGUUUGGUACGCGUUGUUAACUUUCUCAGUCUUUGGCUCACUCAUAUCCGGAAGCCAAGUUUUCUAUACCCCGAUAUCAUUUGGCGUCACGGCCUUGUUCGCAGUGAUGCUAGUCAAGUGUUUGUUCUUCGACGUGGGCUAUCCUGAUCCAACUACAAUGCCGGUACUAAAGAACAUUAGAUUUGUAACAUCGUUGAUUAUAUUACCGGCCAUGUUUUAUAUCCCUUUCUAUUACCCUACCAUGAAUGUUCUUGUUUCGGUCUUUUCGUUGCUCGCUGGAGGAGUCUCGAUCUAUCAACUCACUUGCACGAUUGACAUUGGACAUGGUCUCAAUAUUCUCCUUCUUGCCUUUAUUAAUGGACUCUUAGGUAUAGACUUUGCUGGUCAAGGGCAUGAUCCAGCCGUUGGACUUUUUCCAAGUCUCUUCUUCCAAUACAUUGUCUACGUUUACAAUUUCGAGUUCUUAGCUGAUGUAGUUUAGUUUUCUUAGUAAUUGGAGGAUUCUAGUUUUUUUUUUUUAUAUUGGGUUUUAGUUGUUUUAUGUUUUCCUUAUUUGAAUCAUAAUAAAACUAGUUGAUUUUGUUCUACUUGUUCAUGUCGUCGUUUUUGAGUAACCUCGUAAUGUUUUCUAAAAUUAAUAAGUUGGAUUAAUUUUUUUUCAUUACAAUUUAUGGAGGUAUAUUUUGAUUUGAUUGGAAAAUAUUUGAUAUGUAAUCAAAUCUCAUUUUCCGUCCAUAUCGUGUAUGGUAUAAUUUCGGUGGACGUAUCAUUUAUCAAGAUCUUUC